UACGGAGGAUGCGAGCGUUAUCCGGAUUUAUUGGGAUUAAAGGGUGCGUAGGCGGAUUUUUAAGUCAGCGGUAAAAUGUCCGGGCUCAACCCCGGCCCGCCGUUGAAACUGGCAGUCUCGAGUUGGAGAGAAGUAUGCGGAAUGCGUGGUGUAGCGGUGAAAUGCAUAGAUAUCACGCAGAACUCCGAUCGCGAAGGCAGCCUACCGGCGCGCUACUGACGCUCAUGCACGAAAGCGUGGGGAUCGAACAGG
Molecule: ribosomal RNA, 252 nt
Filed under: uncultured Bacteroidales bacterium
Lineage: Bacteria; Pseudomonadati; Bacteroidota; Bacteroidia; Bacteroidales
Description: partial 16S ribosomal RNA
Rfam family: Bacterial small subunit ribosomal RNA
Source: RNAcentral